Molecule: non-coding RNA, 778 nt
Filed under: Staphylinidae sp. BMNH 1274658
Lineage: Eukaryota; Metazoa; Arthropoda; Insecta; Coleoptera; Staphylinidae
Source: RNAcentral
UUAAAGUUUUAUUUUAGCUUAAAUUAUGAGUUUAUAUUUAACUUAUAUGUAAAUUUUAGUGAUUAUUGUAAAUAUUUUAAAUAAAUAUUACUAAAUUAAUUAUUCGAAGUAAAAUAUUUUAAUUUAUUAAAGGAAUUUAGAGUUAGAAAUUUAUUUUAGUAUAAACAAAAUUUGUGCCAGCAGUUGCGGUUACACAAAUUAUACAAUUUUUAAUUUUUGAUAAGUAAUUAAAUUGAUUAUGAAUUAAAAUAAUAUUUAAUUUAUUAAGUGAAAUUUUAAAUUAAAUAAAAUUUAUUUUUUAAGUUUUGAAGUUAUUAAAUUUUAGUUAAAACUAGGAUUAGAUACCCUACUAUAAGAAUGUAAAUGAUUUUAUUAAAUUAUUAAUAGUUAUUGUCUUUAAAGUUAAAAAAUUUGGCGGUACUUUAGUCUAUUUAGAGGAACCUGUUUAUUAAUUGAUGAUCCACGAUUAGAACGACUAAUUUUAGAAAUUUGUAUAUCAUCGUAGUUGAAUAUUUUUUAAAAAUUUAAAUAUUCAAAAAUUAUUUAAUAAAAUAAAUCAGAUCAAGAUGCAGUUUAUAAAUUAGGAUGGAAUGGGUUACAAUAAUUUAAAUUUUGGAUUUAAUAUUUUAAUAUAUUAAUGAAAUUGGAUUUAAUAGUAAUUUUAUUUAUAUUAAUUAAAUGAUUAUAGCUCUGGAGUAUGCACAUAUCGCCCGUCGCUCUCAUUUAAAGUGAGAUAAGUCGUAACAUAGUAAAUGUACUGGAAAGUGUAUUUAGUUUU